GUACUGUCCAGGAUUGAACAAAUUAAGGAGAGUCCAACGGUCGUAUUUCUCCUCCAUUUUCUUGGUUUCGCUGUUCUCACAGUAUCUUUGCAAGAGUGAACCCAAAAAAAAAAAAAAAAAUUCCUUUAGACACAGAAAGAAAGAUAGAGAGCAUCAUCGUCGGGUAGAAAAGGCAAAUGGUGGUCGAAUCGAAGCGAAGCUAUGAGGAAUGCCGUCGACAGAGGUUGGAAGAGAACAAGAAGCGAAUGGAGGAGCUCAAUCUGGGCAAGCUCGCUCAAGCUCUCAAGGCCGCGAGCCCUAAGACCUUUCCGGUGAAGCAGGUGAAGCGGCCUAGGCAGCUACUGGACCUCUCGUCGGUACGGGUGAGAAGGUCAAGCCGUGUCUCUGGCAAGCCCCCUCCGACUUACAAGGAAGUCCCAAUUGAACCUUUGGCGAGGCCCAGAAGCUAUCAGCGGAGAGAUCUGUUAAACCGAUUUUAUGCUUCGGAUCAAGCAAGGCAAGAUGCGAUUGAGAGAGCAGAACAAGUUGAGUCCGGUUUGGGAUCUGACUUCCCCACGUUUCUGAAGCCCAUGCUUCAGUCACACGUCACCGGUGGAUUUUGGUUGGGUCUUUCAGUCCAGUUCUGCAAGAUGCACCUUUCCCAUAAGGACGAAAUUAUCACUUUAAUAGAUGAGAGUGGAAAUGAGUUCCCAACAAGAUAUCUUGCUCGGAAAACUGGUCUUAGCGGUGGCUGGAAAGGGUUCGCCGUUGAUCAUCAACUAGUUGAUGGGGAUGCAUUGGUGUUCCAGUUAAUUAAGCCCACUAAAUUUAAGGUGAGUAGUUGGAUUCUGGUUCCAAUGCCCGUUUGGUACCCAUAAGUGCUUUGAAGCAUCUAUGCAUGUGGGCCGACCUACUCCAAUUAAACACGACAAAUGUUGUGGUAUAUGCCAAUGUUGAUAAUUGUGGUGUUCAUCAUUAGGGCAUCUGAGUUAACAGAUAAUGAAGACGAUGACAAGGAUUCAGAUGUCUUGCACAUGGACAGGAGUGCCAAAAGAAUCAAAGCCGGCAGAAAGUAGACUUCAUACUUGAUGAUCUUACUGGAAUUUCGCCCUUCUUUUGCUCCUAGAAAACUGUGCGUUACAGGAAUAGAAUUUUGCAAAUUCCUCUGCAAUGUACUAACAUUAGGUUCGUCAUUCCUGAGGUUUUUGAUUUUCUCCAAGUUAGCUUAGAAUGUCAUUUUUUUGUGUACUUGGGAUUUAGGAGUAGCUUUGCAGCAGUCCUUUCAAAAUGUAUGCGCUUUUUCAGUUAGCCCGCUGUAUUACUUAAAUGUAUCAUAAUAGCAAUGACUUUUUCUAUA
Carya illinoinensis is the source of this 1336-nucleotide RNA transcript. It is a transcript of the gene named B3 domain-containing protein At3g19184-like, with no coding region annotated. NCBI's taxonomy places the organism in Eukaryota, Viridiplantae, Streptophyta, Magnoliopsida, Fagales, Juglandaceae. The transcript is spliced from 7 exons. The record is from RefSeq and is a predicted model, not a curated record.